This 253-nucleotide ribosomal RNA is filed under the name uncultured bacterium. Its description in RNAcentral is "partial 16S ribosomal RNA". It matches the Rfam family "Bacterial small subunit ribosomal RNA", at positions 524 to 776 of the family's 1533-position model. The record is from RNAcentral.
UACGUAGGGGGCAAGCGUUGUCCGGAUUUAUUGGGCGUAAAGAGCGUGUAGGCGGUUUGGUAGGUCCGUUGUGAAAACUCGAGGCUCAACCUCGAGACGCCGAUGGAAACCAUCAGACUAGAGUCCGGAAGAGGAGAGUGGAAUUCCUGGUGCAGCGGUGAAAUGCGCAGAUAUCAGGAAGAACACCCGUGGCUAAGGCGGCUCUCUAGUACGGUACUGACGCUGAGACGCGAAAGCGUGGGGAGCGAACAGG